GGGCGCGAUUAUUAUUCUCUAACUGUAGUAAACAUGGAGAAAUGUCAUUCACAAUUAUUAUAAAGAACAUAAUUAUUGAUAUCACACUACAUAAAUUUGAGUCAUCUAUUCGAGUAAUUAUAUAUUACGCGUUAAAAAUAAUUUCUUUUUAAAAAAUUAUAACUAUUUUUUUAUCUAGUUUUCACACUAUGAUUAGUUUACAUUCCAUAUAUUAAUCUUAUAUGAAAUAGCAAUUCUUCAUGGAAUAGCAAGAGUUCUCCAUUCAUAGAGAUAAUGAAAGAAAAUACAACACAUUGUGCUUAGCAAUUAAGAAGGUAAUUAAUUAGUGAUAAUGGGAAGAAGAUAAUGAAAAAAAAAAAAAAA
Molecule: unclassified non-coding RNA, 363 nt
Filed under: Hevea brasiliensis (rubber tree)
Lineage: Eukaryota; Viridiplantae; Streptophyta; Magnoliopsida; Malpighiales; Euphorbiaceae
Source: RNAcentral